AUUACCUCCCUUGGCCUCUAAUUAAAUUAUUAAAACUUUAACUUCAAUUUUCCAUAUUUCGCACAAUAUUUGUGAGCUGAAUUUGAAAAUCCCAACAACGUUUAAACUCAAGAUUAAAUCUACAACCUUACUUUCCUUAUUUCCAGGUAAUUAAUAUUUCCAUCCGUUAUAUCACUCAAAUACUAGCCAAAUUCUAAUUAGACGUGAAAGAACGUGAUUUAGGAAUCUGUAGAAACCACCUGGUACGAAGAAGUUUGUUUAUCCGCGGUCAACUUGGAAUUGCGUAACUUUAGAAAAAAUAAUUAGCCACGGAACCCGUGUCAGAAUGUUGAAGUUAAUUCCAGAGAUAAUCGUCGGAACUAUUCGGGGAGUGUUCUCGCGGAAGUUGAUCCUCGGCAAAUUUCGCGUAAAUCGUAGGAAAGAAGUCGAAAGGAGAGCGAGAGAAAGAUAAAGUUUUUCCGCUGCGUCUUCGAACUGUGCAAUUACUAACUAAUCGACCAAACUAAAGUUUAAGCCUUUCCUAACGAACACUAACAAAUUUUAACUAGAUGUCCUCUAUACGAACCAGCGAAAGUUGAAAUACGCUUUUCGUCGAUCAGGGACGACAUAAGAAGACAACCUGGCGACCUAGCCGUCGCGACCCAUUGUUCCCCGCUGGCCAACAACGAGCGAAGCAACAGCAACGGCAGCAACAGCACCAACGGCAGCACGAAUGCCAGUGGCAGUGCCGCCAGCAAAAGCUAUUCGCUCGAGCACCGCAUCCAGCGCGUGUCUACGCUCGGCCGGAGGCAUUUGGCUGCGCAACGAUCCUACCGAGGAUUAUUCGGAUGCCGUAGAAGCAUCUUCGCUGCCGCGGAAUGUGUCGAUCAGAAAAUCGGGGAUUCUAUGCCGCGAGCCGUCGCCUGUCCUCUCCGUGUCGUCGUAAAUGCAAACGCUGAAAUCGGCAGGAUUUUCAGACGAACGCUGACACCGCUGUAACCAAAUGAAUUACCAAAUGAAGGACGCGUUUGAGAUAUGAUACACUGAAUUCUGCUCUGCGAAUCAUCGCACAUUCACCUUUCAAUACUCGAAAUGAUCCCGAAUCUCUAACGUAAUAGUAACUUUCACAACACGAAAUCUGCUAUUGCUAUGGUAAAAUAUAUCGACAGGAGGCUCAAGAAAUCUUUACGACGAAAUAUGAAAUCACAAGUACCUACAACGCUAAGCUGAAACAACUUGUUUAAGAACACGAACACUCCAAGUAAUCCGCAGUGACGAGACGAAGCACAGACUCGUUUCUCCAGUCGAGCAAGAAACGGUUUCCGCUCUGUGCGGUUUUGCGCGGUCUAUUUGGCCGGCUAGAAGGGGGUCGAGUGGCCGAGAUUUUUCUUUCCGUGGCGAAGUUGCACGCGCUGCGGAGGAAGUCAGCGGGAACGCGGUUGUUACUGGAAGAUAAAUUAAGGAAGAAUACAACAAGGGUUGGAGGCAAACAGAAGAAGAAGAAAGGGCGGAAAGGAAAGUUCAUGAAUGCCACGAGGAGGCACGCACGCAUGCUUGCGUGCUGCCCGCGAAUUACAGAGCUCCUGUGUAUUUGUAUCUGUCUUUCCCCGACAGGCCGUUUUCCUUGCCCGCAUAAAUCAUCGGAAUUAGCGCAAUUUCGACGUCGAGUGGCCCGGAACAGUUUCUGUCUCUCUGCGUUUCUUCGCGGUAGGGGAGGAUUAAUGGACGCGACGCGCGGCGAGGAAUGAAAAUUCGACGAGCGACGAGUACCCCGGAGCAUCAUUAAGAGGAGGAACUCUGGAGAUGAAACGGGAAAGAGGGUUAAAACGAUCGACCUCAAAUUUUCCUCGUGGGAAAGAGAUAAAUCACUUUCGUGAAAAUAAGGUAGAAAAACGUUGUUGGAAAAGUUUUGUAACAUUGCGGAAAGGGUUAACAGCGAAAAAACAACGGAGAAAUAUUACCACCACGCGUGAUUGCGCGGUACUGUAUAAUUACGAAGACGUCCUUUCCUUUUUUAAUUCCUACUGUUCGUCAAACGAUACGCACCACGGUAGGAGGAAAGUGAGCUUGCCCAAAUAUGUAAUCGUCAAUUUUUAUAGCAUCUCCAAAAUGUCAAGUCAAAAAACUCAGAAAGCUGGAGACAUCACGAAAGAACGACAAUUUUGAUCCAACGUUCUUAUCUCGGCGUUCCUUUGGGGAAUGUUAAUUACCGUUUUCACGAUUUGCCAAGCGGAAUAGGAUAGUCAAACAACCGCUGAGCGAGAAGCAACGGAUCACAUCGGUGUGUCGCUUAUUAUUUUUAAUCUUAGCGAACCGGAUCUCUGCUUGUCUAACUGUGCACAUAUGUAGACAUACAGAGAGAGAGAGAGAGAAAGUCACAUAGAAACGCACACUUGUAACCGUUUCAACCCCUCUAUUUGAUACAGCGAAGGGGAGGAGGGUAAACGAGACUAACGCGCUAACGAUGCCAACGUUAAUUACCGGGCCGGAAAGACCGCCUAAUCGUUGAGCAAGUGCACGCGCUAAUUACGCGGGGCUGCUUGCUGAUCGAGCGAAUCGUACGGUUUCAGUCGGGAAUCGUGGAAGUGUGCCGGAGUUGCAUGUUUCUUGCGAUCUCGUUACUUUCACGAGGCUCUGACCGCGAUGAAAUUGACCUGACACGACCGGAAUACCGUUCGAUCGACGUUGUAUUCGUUCCUUUUUGUUUACGAGGUAAGUCGGCGGAAAAAGGAAAUAAUUCGGCUUCAAAAAGUUGAAACAUUAAAAUAUUUAAAGAAGCAAUUUUUAGUGAUGCCAGUUGAAAUAGGUGCAAGAAUUUGUUUUUUAACGCAUAGGUAAUUGAUACUUAAUUUCGAAAAAUAUUUUUUACUGGUUCGAGUACAAUCUUUUUACGAGGAUCACAGGAUAAAAAAGUGAAAAUUUUGUACGAAAAUAUUUAUUUUUUAUUUGUUGUUUUAAUACAAUUGUUAUGAAUGGUACCCUGGAUCUAUUUUUUAUCGAUUCGAGUGCUCUUUUUUAAAAGGCUCGAGAUAAAUUUUUUACCGUUGUUUUUCGCGUUUUAUCGCUUUAAAUAUAGGCUUUUGAAACUAAAAUUUAAUUUGAUAAAAGCGUUGAGGACUAUCGAAACAUCGAGGUAAUUGAUUUAAUAACGAACGCAUCGAGAAUAAGGACUUUCUUUUACGAGCUCUACUCCACAUCUAUUACCGUUCAGAUGCAUAGAUCCUCCGAUUGUGGGGGCGUGCGAUGAAUCGCGGGCAGAAGAGCGAGAACCAAUUCCUGCCAAUUUUUGUACGAAAGAUCCCACCGCGAUUUCGAUCGAUCCAACACUGAUAGCGUCUAGAAGUGGUGCCAGAGAAUGGAUAGAUAAUAUUGCCAAAGAAUGGAAGAACGCUGCCGACGAACACGCAUAGCCCGUUCGAAGGGCACGAUCCUACCAUCGUAGUUUUUAGAUUUAUUAAGAAACAAAAAAAAAAAGAAUUACAUUUAAAUUGUAACGUUUAGAAGGUUUCCUACAUAGCGACCACGUGGUAAAAAAUACCACGUGCAUCAAGUCUAACUGCUUAAGAACACAUGAAACAUACACAAACGCAGACAGACACGUACACAUUCCUACGCGUAGACACACAAAGACACACACGCGAAAUACGUGAAACUUAUUUGCAGUGAUAUCCGAUAUAUAUGUAAUUUUGUAAAUACACUGGUAUAAAUGACGAGGGACAAAGCGUUGUGAUUGGAAGGCGAAUUUGAGCUACGUAAAGCGAAAAAGAUAAUGCUCCUUUCUAUACUAACUUCCCAUGAAGCCCGUACGAAAAGAAAAUCUUCCCAAUGAUCAGAGUCAGGUAGAUCAACGAAUAGCGAGCCACGAGAGAGUAAAGCAUCGACUUUUUUUAACGAAAUACACGGAAUUAGUCACGUGAACCGUUUUCUCAUCGAGUGAUGUGUGAGCGUGCGAUUCGAUGAGUGAUCCGAGUGACAUCGCGAAGGGGUCAACCAAAUAUAUUUUAUAAAGUAUAAGCUAGAAAUUCUUUAUAACAAUUAGAUUGUAUUAUCUAUAAACAUGAAUUUUAAAAUCUUUUCUCUCAGCACAAAAUUGAUAUGGAAAGAAGAAUUAUACAUUUCCGAAAAUCAAUACGAAUAUUAUACUAAAAUUCUCGAUCAAC
Bombus impatiens (common eastern bumble bee) is the source of this 4139-nucleotide long non-coding RNA. RefSeq lists it as uncharacterized. Lineage: Eukaryota; Metazoa; Arthropoda; Insecta; Hymenoptera; Apidae. The record is from RefSeq and is a predicted model, not a curated record. The transcript is spliced from 2 exons.